This is a long non-coding RNA of Macrobrachium nipponense, 743 nucleotides long. RefSeq lists it as uncharacterized. NCBI's taxonomy places the organism in Eukaryota, Metazoa, Arthropoda, Malacostraca, Decapoda, Palaemonidae. The transcript has 4 exons. The record is from RefSeq and is a predicted model, not a curated record.
CAAACGACGAAUACAGUGCGCUUCGAACACCGGUCUAAACUUCUCAUUAACUCUAAAAACAAACUGUAAAUGGAUUUAAACGUCUGUACAAGUCUCAAUCAUUCUUUAAAAAUGGAAAUACCCAUCAAUCGACGAUAUUCUCUUACGACGAUAACCUCGUUCACAUUAUCGAACACUGAUAAGAGCCAACAGAUAGAACUCGCCUGCCUGAUGUGUUGAUAACAAGUAAACUCGUUUGACGUUGUAUUUCGGAUCUACGUAUACAUCGCUAGUAACCAAAAAUGUUCGCGAUUCCCAAGACGACGUUGAGUGCCUUAGUUUUGGUAACGCUUUCCGUCGCACAAAUUGGAUACUGCCUGCAGUGCCACUUUUCAGAAAGCGAUGGCUCUCUCCGGAAAAUAGAAUGCUCGGCGUCAUGUAUAAAGGUCGUUAUAAGCGAGGGUCCAGACGCAGGUACCAGCUAUGGCUGCGAUCCUAUCAAACACCAAAGCAACUGUUCAUCCAUCAAACUGGAGGGAUACCCAGCCACUGUCUGCUUUUGUGACACUGACCUGUGCAACAGUUCAAACGCGAUGCCCUUCACAGUCCCUCUCCUCCUCUUGGCGUUCCUCUUCCUCAGGAUGCUUGCCUGACCUGUCGUAUGGAAGCUACAGCAAAUGAACGCGUUGGUGCAACUCUGUAGCACAUUCCCUUCUUUGUAUUUGUUACCGUUUCACCUAUAAUAUAGUUAUUUCUAUUAACAA